ACUCAAAUGAAUAGACGGGGGCCCGCACAAGCGGUGGAGCAUGUGGUUUAAUUCGAUGCAACGCGAAGAACCUUACCUGGAUUUGACAUCCUCGGACAGCCGUAGAGAUACGGUUUCCCCUUCGGGGGCCGGGAGACAGGUGCUGCAUGGCUGUCGUCAGCUCGUAUCGUGAGAUGUCGGGUUAAGUCCCUUAACGAGCGCAACCCUUAUCCCUAGUUGCCACCAUUAAGUUGGGCACUCUAAGGAGACUGCCGGUGUUAAGCCGGAGGAAGGUGGGGAUGACGUCAAGUCCUCAUGGCCUUUAUAUCCAGGGCAACACACGUGCUACAAUGGCCGGUACAGAGGGUCGCCAACCCGUGAGGGGGAGCUAAUCUCAGAAAGCCGGUCUCAGUUCGGAUUGAAGUCUGCAACUCGACUUCAUGAAGCUGGAAUCGCUAGUAAUCGCAGAUCAGAACGCUGCGGUGAAUACGUUCCCGGGCCUUGUACACACCGCCCGU
Molecule: ribosomal RNA, 497 nt
Filed under: uncultured bacterium
Lineage: Bacteria
Description: partial 16S ribosomal RNA
Rfam family: Bacterial small subunit ribosomal RNA
Source: RNAcentral